CCUACGGGAGGCAGCAGUGAGGAAUAUUGGUCAAUGGGCGCGAGCCUGAACCAGCCAAGUAGCGUGAAGGAUGACUGCCCUACGGGUUGUAAACUUCUUUUAUAAAGGAAUAAAGUGAGGCACGUGUGCCUUUUUGUAUGUACUUUAUGAAUAAGGAUCGGCUAACUCCGUGCCAGCAGCCGCGGUAAUACGGAGGGUCCGAGCGUUAUCCGGAUUGAUUGGGUUUAAAGGGAGCGUAGAUGGGUUGUUAAGUCAGUUGUGAAAGUUUGGGGCUCAACCGUAAAAUUGCAAUUGAUACUGGCAGUCUUGAGUACAGUUGAGGUAGGCAGAAUUCGUGGUGUAGCGGUGAAAUGCUUAGAGAUCACGAAGAACUCCGAUUGCGAAGGCAGCUUACUAAACUGACACUGACAUUGAUGUUCGAAAGUGUGGGUAGCAAACAGGAUUAGAUACCCGAGUAGUC
Molecule: ribosomal RNA, 460 nt
Filed under: uncultured bacterium
Lineage: Bacteria
Description: partial 16S ribosomal RNA
Rfam family: Bacterial small subunit ribosomal RNA
Source: RNAcentral